Molecule: ribosomal RNA, 119 nt
Filed under: Petromyzon marinus (sea lamprey)
Lineage: Eukaryota; Metazoa; Chordata; Hyperoartia; Petromyzontiformes; Petromyzontidae
Source: RNAcentral
GCCUACGACCAUAUCACCCAGAAUGCGCACGAUUUCGUCUGAUCUCGGAAGCUAAGCAGGGUCGAGCUUGGAUAGUACUUGGAUGGGAGACUGCCUGGGAAUACCAGGUGUUGUAGGCA